This 28692-nucleotide long non-coding RNA is filed under the name Equus caballus (horse). RNAcentral describes it as "lncRNA (ENSECAG00000046147.1)". The record is from RNAcentral. Lineage: Eukaryota; Metazoa; Chordata; Mammalia; Perissodactyla; Equidae.
CCAUGUUAAUAGUUUAUGUUUUACGUCUGCUGUGCUACCCUGAAAAAACAAAGUCAACAAGAGCAAGCAUUGGUUAUGAUGGCCCUUCUGGUCUCAGCACAACAUGAUGCCUUCCUUGCUUUAAAAACAAAAGGCAGGGAAAUGUAGCCGCCCCUGACACAGGAAGGGUUAAUAAUCACUGGAAAAAGCUUGCCAACAAACUGUGACCCGGAGGUGAGAAGGCCAGUUAGCCAAUGACGGGUAAGACCCCCUGGGGGGCAACCUAAGCCAGGCGGCGGCCGCCCGGGGGCACAGAUGGAGAAACGAUAUCGAUAUCGGGAGCAAGAGGGACCGUUGCCUAAGAGACCUUGCCUGCUCUGAGAUAAAAAUAUAGGAGCACAGCAACAACAUGAUAAUAUCAAAACAGAGGCCAAGAGAGGGCUCCUUGAGAAAUCACUAAGAAUUCUUGGCAUUCGCUAAUUACUUCAUCCAGAACACCUGUGUAUGUUUAACAGAUGUAAGCUAUGUAUAUAUUGAAACGCUGGUUAUAAUAAACUCAGAGUGGCCAUCAGCCCUCUCCGCAUCUAUCCUGAUGUGUACAUUGGAUUGUGACACCGACAGGUACAGAUGGCAAGAAUGAAGGGAACAUUAGCCAGUUCUGCCCUAGUUCAAUAAAAUUAUUAAGCACGUAUCCCCCAAUCAGAGGAAAGUGAAUGAUGUGUUUUAAAAAAAAGUGCCAGCAGCAGAAUUACUCUAAGACUGAAAGGCUCCCAGCACAACUUGGAAGUUUCUGUUACUGAUUUCAAAUGAGAAUUAUUGUUAAUAGGAAUAAAGUUAUUAUCGGCAUGAAUCACAGACACAGAAACCUGUUAACUUAAUAAUGUGGCAAACGUACUAUUAAUCUUUAGUGAAGCAAUAUUAAUAUAUUGCCUAAUCUAAGAAAAGGCUCCAGUGUCUUGAAAGCUUGAAAUCAUUUCUGCUUCUGCCUCAAGUUCUGAAAUCAUCCCCUUUUAAAAUUUUAAAUACUUUUAUUUCACAUAAGCCUCUGAGUAUUCAGAAAUAAUUGCUGUCAAUAGAGAUUCAUUUUCACCUUUGAAUGGCCAGUAAUGUCAAAUGGCAACGUCAUUGGCCUUCAUAUCAACAUAUUUUAAAUGUAUGUCUUGGAACUGAAGGUCAAUAAUGGCUACUAAAUUUAAAAUAUGGAAUUCUAUGAUGUUUUAUUCUUGGUACUUUGAUUGCCUUUAUACUGGUGAUUAUUUCAUCUGAAGGCAAAAAUCGAAUUCCAGCCUAUCUCAAUGGAAGUUCCUUUGCCUCCCUUGAGUACAUUUGAACCAUUUUCUUUGAAGUUUCUAGCACAACACUAGUAUAUAUAAUUUUGGAAACUAUACAGUCUGUAUCAGGGAUUUUUAACCCAGCUGCAAGACAGGCAUUGUGGGUAAUAGCAAAGUAUGGGAGUUGAUAUGAGUCCUAAAUUGGGAUGGCUGCUCUGUCAUAUAUUAGGAGGGUGACAUCGAACAAGUUGCAAGUUACUUAAUGUCUCUGAGCCUCGGAUUAAGGUUAACAGUAUCAGACAUAUAGGCUUGCUGUGGGGAUUAAAUUAGAUACUGUGAAGUCAUCUUUUAGAAGCUGUAACACGUAUAGGUGAUCAAUAAGUAUUAGUUUUUGUUCUUUGCAAUAAACUGGGCAUCUAGAUUUGGUGAGAUGCUUAAAAAUUAGUUUAUCAAAAUUUAUUGUAAUUUAUAUCAAAUUUAAAAAUACAUGACGGUUUGCAGCGAAGGAUCCAAUUUAGCCAAAAGAAAUGCCAGAUGUCACUGCAUUAUGAAGAUAAAAAAUCAGUAAUUUGUGCUAUGUGCACACAAGGUUCAAGGCUAGCUAUAGACCACUUAGUAAUUUUAUACUCAUUAUUAAUUUCUCCGUUCUAAGAUGCUUUUAUGAUAUAAAUGAUCAUUAUAUGGGUAAUAUUUUUGUGCUUUUGUGCCAGCUAUUGCUAUUGUGGAGUCGAGGGGGAGGUUGAACCUGCUAAGUCAGUCUAGCUUUCAUAUAUUGUUUAGAAGAAGGGUUGGCAAACUUUUCUAUAAAGAGCCAGGUAGUAAAUAUUUCCAAAUAUGGAUUCUAUUGGAACUACACAACUCGGUUGUUUUCAUGCGUAAGCAGACACAGUACAACGAACAAAUCAGAGUGGCUGUGUUCAAAUAAAACUUUAUUUACUUAUUUUGGAAAGGAAAAUUGGCCCUGAGCUAACGUCUGUGCCCAUUCUCCUCCACUUUGUACGUGGCAUGCUGCCACAGCAUGGCUUGACGAGCAGUGUGUAGGUCUGCACCCAGGAUCCAAACCCAUGAACUCAGGGCCAUCAAAGCAGAGCCCGCAAACUUAAUCACUACACCACCGGGCCAGUUCCUAAAUAAAACUUUAUGAUGGACACUGAAUUUUUAAUUUCAUGUAAUUUUCAUGAGCCACAAAAUAUUUUUCUUCUUUUGACUUUUUUCAACCACUUAAAAAUGUAAAAACCUACUUACCUUGAAGUACACACAAAAAAAGGCAGUGGGCUGGACUUGGCUUCCAGACAGAAAUUUGCAGACUCCUGGUUUGGAGGAGCAAGCAUUGUACUAAAGGUCAAGAGUUCUUUCACAACUAUUCACUGUGUGACCUACCCGACUUCUCCAAAAUCAUUUAAUUUUCCUGAGCCUCAGUUUCCUCUUCAACAAAUGAAGUAAUUGAGUAAAUUAAUCCCUAAGUUUCUUUUCAGCUUUAUUGUUUUAUGAUUUAUGAGUAGAACUCACUCAUUAGCUUUCUAAUUUCUAAGUUGAGGUUAGCAAUGAAGAUAGUCCCAAAUUUCUUCAAAGACUUUUAUAAUCAUUGAUAUUGCUUCAUAAGUAAGUUAGUCUUUGACGCUUAACCACGUUAAAAUGUUUUAAAAAUCACAUAUAUUUAUAAAAGGUACUUUAGACUUAGUGCUUUCUUUUUGACUUCUCCACAGCAUAAGGACUGAUUCACCAAGGAACUAAGAGUAGGUGGGGAGAGAAUCACUUGCUCAUUAGGACUUAUACUUAAGAGCACAGUGGAGGUGGUACUCAAAUCAGUCAAUUUAGCUACUUGUUAGUACCAGUUUUUAAAGGCUUAAUGAAGGAGGAAGGCAAAAUGUUUAGCUAAGGGAAGGUUGGGUAAUUGUCCAUAGAGCCUAUAUUUUCAUGCCCUACUCUUAUGCCUUACGCCUGUGCACCCUGAAGUAUUGUCUGCCCCUCCUGACAGACAUUUAUAGUUCUACAGGAGAAACAGCAUACGCAGAUUCUCCUCAGGUAUGCCUCUGCUUGACCCCUCUUAGCUCUUGAAAUUACAGGCUAUAAUGAUUAGAAGCCUUUAUAGGAUAACUGCCUGACAAAGUGUAUGGGAAGCGCUUGCUGGGGUGAAAACAAACGUUUAUUUAUAAUGUUAAUGUGCAAUCAUUUGAUUGUUGUGGAGGUAGUGUUAAUUAUGCUUCCUUACCUGCAUAAUGCACAUUCUGUGUAGGAGCUGAGAAAUGAAGAUAGGGAGAAGGGUGAAAAACAAUUUGUGUCUUCUACAUGGAGUUCACUGUAGCAGCCACCAUUUUUUUCCUUGGCAUGGUCUAACCAGCUUGUCACGCCUCUGCCAAGAUGGCAAUAUCGCAGACAGCAUGUUUUCAGUGCAUUAACAAACACCCUAAAGGUUGUCAGGAGGGAGCAACCUGCAAAUAAUUGGAGAUAUUAUGUAUUAGUAAAGGAAUUGUUCUUCAGUUUUCCAAGAUGUCCAUCAGAAAGACAACAAUUGCAAGGAUAAAGGGAAGUAAAGUGACUGAGAAGGUUUUAGCACCUAAGGGGUUGAAUUCAAAGGAAGAAGCUUCUGACAACGGUUCUGGCAUCCUGGUGACCAGCCCAAGGUGGUGCCUGACAGCUGAUGUAAAAAAUGAAAAAGGUAAGAUCAAUGGGAACAUAUUAAAAAGGGAAGAAGAGUAACAAAAUAAAAGACCAAAGUAAAAGAUUUCAGAAUCUCUCAGAAGUCUCUAACUUGAACUCAUUAAUGAAUAAGACAACUUGGACUUUCUUUUACAGCCUUAACACAAAGAACCGAUCCUAUUUUUUAACGUAAAUGGUUAUAUAAAUAAUCCUCACUUUACUUGUCAGGGAGAGGAUGGUUUCUUACUUUGACAUGGAGAUGAAGGGAAACAUAGUCCCUGCUUUGACUUUAUCCUUGAAUUUCAGACAUAAGAUUAAACUUUGAACUCUUCAAUGACUUUGUACUUGUUGAUAGUGUCACUCAAAGUUCAGAUUGCAUUAGUUGGCUUUUGACUUUUCCAGUAGCUUCCUCUGGGGUUAUGUGGCUGUCGCGUUAGCAUCAGAAGCAUUUUAUGGCCUUAGAAGCUUGCAGUCACUUACUGCUAGUGAUUUGCAACCUCAUUGUUGUUCAUUUUAUGACCUUUCAGAUUCCACCUUUUCUUUGACUCCAUUAGGACUUCCUGAUACAAUGACAGAUUAGAGACCCCCAUUUAGUUAGCAGUUCAGCUGUGCCAUCAUAAUUGUUACAAUUUUUCAUAGCACCCCUUUUGACCAGAUAAAUAUUUUCACAAAUUAUAUAGACAUCAAACCAUGGUUGUAGAAUAAAUGGUAUAAUAAAUGUUGAAAAGUUUGAGUUUCUCCAAAGAAGGCCAAUAGAGAAACUCAAAGUAUAGUUUGAUGGUCAUUUUGAUUAUGUUCAAGUUUCCUGUGAUAAAAUUCCAGGUGAAAUGCAUUCUAACCAAGUUCAUUUAAAUGUCAUAGAGUAUUGGCUUUUAUUUUUAAAUAAAGAAUAUUUAUUAAUAUUUCUUUUUAUGAUUAUAAAGUGAUUAUAUUGACUUGAUCUCAGUUGUAAUAGAACUAUUAUGUCAGCUUUUGAUUAAUUGAGGAAGCUGGAACCCUCAGAAUUGAAUAUGGAGCCUUUAACCUCUAAGUCACUGAAUCAAAUCCAGCCCAAAUUGGUAGUGACCAAGAAUGAUUACAACGAUGGCUCUUUGGUGGCCUCUAUGAAGUGUAUUUAGGUCAGGUGGACGUAUGUCAGGAUAACUGCUGACAGAAGGACUCAUAUCUAUAGUUACUACUGCCUCUUCUUAGUCACUAUUGCCAAACACACAUGAAAGGCCCAGGGACUGAGAAAGCCAAGGGUGCAGAAGCACCCACGAGUAGCCAAGCUUUGUAUCUCUUAGAAAGAAGUAAUAAGGACUUCUCUUUAUUAUUGCUAUUAUGAGACAUUUCUAGCUAUUUAAAUGAGUUUACUUAAGGUUUUAGUAAGUUGAGAACUGAGAAUGUUUUCAUGAACAGUCUAGAUACUGAAUUUGAACAGGUCUGGGCUAGGAGCUUAACUUCCUGACCUCUGCUUAUGAGCUUGUCUCUGUUGCUCAUCAACUGUUCUCUGCUCUGCUCUUGCAAAACAGUGCUGUUCAGAUAGUAGGGUUGUUACUGGCAUCGUUACAACUUACUCUAUGCUUUCAAACAGGCUUUAUUACGAAACGCUAACUAUGUGCAUGGUGAAAGACUAUUGGCAAAGAGAUUCUCCCCAAUUUCUCCUUUACUUUUUAAAUUCAUUAUAUUGAAUAUAACGUUUUAAACUCUCUAUUCCUUUUUUGUAUAAACAAAUCACUGUCUGUUGCAAGAUAAAUUUGAAUCUGCUUUUAAUUCAUGAUAAAUUUAAUAAUUUUAUUGAACAGUUAAAUAUCAUUAUUGUAUUAUUUCUAAAGGAAAGUAGCUUAGAUUAGUGCUUCUUAAACCAGCUGUGUUAAAAGAUCAGUUUUUUAAAAAAAUUUCUCAACAAUUAUGUCAAUACAUUUGUGAAAUACACUAAAAAUGAAAUACAUAAAGAAUAAAAUAAGACAAAGGCAAACAAAAUAUGCGUUGAUAUUUUUAUUAUUAGAUUCAACAGAUGAAAAAAUAUAACUUUCCAUAAAUAUUUCUCCAUGUUUUCUCUCAGUGUCUGAAUUUAUUUGUCUGCAUAUCGGUAACAAAAAGUCCAUUGAGCAGCCCUGCUCCAUGGAUCAGACUCUGAGUAGCACUGGCCAAAUUGAAUACAUACUCUGAAACAUGAAUUUAUUUAAACAAGUAAACUUGUAUCUGAUAUGGGGAUAUGAAGCCACAAAAACAAAACUGUUAAGAACAAGAAAUGAUUAAACAUGAAUGAGGUCUAAAAUUUUAACUAGCACUGAGAGUGUACAUAAUUGAUGCCAAACAAAUGUGAAUGCAAUCUGUUAUUCAUUCAACAUAUUUAUUAAGUACCUAUUAUGUGCCAGGAACUUUUCUAGGACUUGAGAAUAUAGCAGUGAAAAAGACCUACAAAUCCCUGAGUUUUUUUUCUGGUGGGGGAGAGAUUAAACAAGCAGAAAAAUAGUAUGGCAAGUUCACUGGUGGAAACAAAAUGGACUGAUAAGAUAGAGACCCAUUGUGUGGUAGGGUAUAGAGGAGCCCUAAAGAGUUGAAAUUUGAACUGAGAAUUGAAUGACUGCAAGUAGGUAAGAAGACGUGGAGGAAGCAUAUGCCAGACACGUCAUGAGGUAGAAAUGAGCUGGGAGAGGUUCAGGAACAGUAAAGGCCAAUGAGGCAGUGGCUCAGUUAGAAGAAGAUUGGAAGGAGACGAGGUCCAAGAGUUGGUCAGGAGUCAGACUUCACAGGCCAAAGCAAGGAGCUUGGAGUUUAUCUCCAGUGUUAUAGGAAACGACUAUGCAGUUGCUGGUCUGGUGGCGCUGUGGUUAAGUGCACACGUUCCACUUCAGCAGCCCGGGCUUCGCAGGUUCGGAUCCUGGGUGUGGACUUGGCACCGCUUGGCACACCAUGCUGUGUCAGGCAUCCCGCAUACAAAGUAGAGGAAAAUGGGAGCUCAGGGCCAGGCUUCCUCAGCAAGAAGAGGAGGAUUGGCAGCAGUUAGCUCACGGCUAAUCUUCCUCAAAAAAGAAAAAAAGUUUUAUGCAGUUCAGAGAUAUCAUAUUAGGUAAAUGUUUAAAAAGUUACUCUAAAACUCUUAUAGCUGUGUAGACAAUGUAUUUUAGGGGACUAGAGAGGAAGUUAGGGGACAGGCAAGAAGUUGUGGUGACUUGGACAUAUUAGUAGCAAGGAGGAGAAGUGAACAGAAUAUGUUUCUGAACAAUCAAUAGAAUUUUCUGACAUGGGGAAUGGAUAAAGAAAUGCGAAGAUUUGAUAAUACUACAUUUUUGUCCUUUAAACAAUGGGGUGAUGGUGACACGCUGAGGUGGAGAAAACAAGAAAGCAGUCAGUUUGUAGUUGGCUGAAUCAGGAGUCGAGUUUUUGUCAGGUUAAUUUGGAGGCGUCUAUUAGAGAACUAAGUGAAAAUGUCAAACAGGAAGUCACAUAUAUGAGUUUCAAGGUGAAGAGAGAAGUCAAUAUGAAAUUGAGUGUUUCUUGUGUCAUUGGCAUUAAAAGGCAUGAAACUAGAGAUUACUUAAGGAAAGAGGAUGGGAAGAGAAGACAUGAGGUCCCUUGAAGAAAUCCUAGGGCCCCCUGUCAGUUAGGAGAGUAUCAGAGGAGAAAAGUUAGCUUAGGAGACUGAGAAAGAGUGGGCGAGGUGCUAGAUGGGUCGUAAGUCAGAGGGAAAGAAGGGAGGGCAGUAACAAAACUAAAUUGACUAGCUGGACUGAGAGGGAGCCAAUAAGCUAGUUAGAGAGGGCAAGAAAAGGAACUGUAUAAUAAGGUGUGUACCCAAGGGGAGGAGGCGUUGUUCCAUCAAACCACAGAGUUCUCACUGAAUGUUAGGAGGGAUAUCCUAUUGAAAACAUCUGCAUCUAAAUAUCACACCACCUCCUUGGAUUAAUCCAUUAGACUUAAUAGAAAACUUAUGCCUUCUGUACAAAUAAUUUUGGGUGUCAUGUAGACUCAGGCUUAAAAAAAAAUCCAUUGUCAUUAUAAUUCUCAAAUUGCUUUUCUGCACCAGGAGCAGAAAUGAGAGGUUGAAAAAAAACUGGAAUGAAAAUGCAACUGAGACUUCAAGCUCCACUUUAAAUGUGCACGGCAAACACACCAGGCGUGCACAUUUUAAAAUAAAACAGAUGAGCUAUUUUAAAUGUUUUAUUGCAAAACUUAAAGAUUGUAGCUAUUACUAUUUAAAAAAAAAUAUUAGAAAGCAAUUUUUCUAUUCUUUGUACCUUUAAGUCCUUGGCUCUGAUGUUCUGCUCCUCUGACCUUGAUCUAAUCAUGAAUAUCUAUGCUACUUAAUUAUAAUAAAAAAAGCCUACAUUGCACUCUAGAUGGUAGAUGCACAUUUUUUCUUCUUUGGUCACCUGCCAGUUCUCAAAAUUAUAGCGGUGGGAAGAAAUGCAAAUGAAGGCUGUGCUUGACAGCUAAACAUAAUGGAAUGCAUGGUCCACAUUUGAAAAGUUACCUUAAAAUAAAAGGUAGCAUAUGAAAAAUCAUUUCUUUAAGGUCACCUAUGGCUUUGAAUUACAGCUUUGAGGAAUUUCCAAUUUAGUCAUCAGAAAGAAAGAAGCCAAAAUAAGGAUUAUAUACUUUGCUAGAAGGAAGACAGAGUUUACUUCAUCAUAGUUGGGUGAUCUUAUAACUUGGAAAUAGAAAACAAAACAAAAAACAACUCCAGAAUAUUCAUUUUGUAGAGUAUUGUGUAAAGUACACCACUGGUGAACAUUUUCUAUUAUAAUUUUACUUGCAGCUGAUAAAAUGUUUUCUUGUAAAUGUCCACAGAAAGGUUACCUUAUCACAUGUUAAAAUAUGUAACACAUGAACUACAAUAGGCUGGCAGUAAACAGAGUUGAUUAUAAAGAUCUGUUAUUUGAAGAAUUGUAUUUCUUUAUUCAGCUGAGUAUAUUUUCAAAUAGGAGAUUGGGAAGUGAAUGGAUGGCUGCUGCACAGCUAUUUAGAAAAUCGGAAUCUAAAAAUUAUGUAUGUACAUAUGUAUGUAUAUAUAUUACAAACACGCAGAAUUAUUUGAUAAUUACACACUCCAGAAAGUGCCAAAGUGGUCUUUCAAUAAACGUUUAUACUUUACAUUUUCUUCUUUCCUGCUAUUUGAGUCUGACAGAGACAAUGUCUCAGACGCAUUUUUGCACAUUGAACCCAUUCCACAGACUACCAGGAGCGCAUGUGCUGCUGAGCGGUGAUCCACAGACCACAGAGCUCUGAGAACAGGUGCAGAGGCUUCUGGGGGUGAUAUUUUCCCUGCUUCACUGACUGAGUAGAUGGUGUAAUAAAAUGAGCUCUAGACUGAGAAAAAUAAGACCUCGUUUCUGGUUCUACUUCCACCAUUUUCUGUGAGGUCUUGGGCAACUCAUUUAAUUAAAUUAUGUCUCCGUUUCAGCAGUCAGUUUAACAAUAGCAAACACUGAUCGAGCAUUUGCCACAUUCCAAGUAUUUAUAAGACACAGGAAUUUCUAAUCGUUUUCAUAAAGGGAUCAUUUCAACAUACUGUGGGAGAUGAAACAGUAAAGAUAUCUCAGGGUGUUACAGGAGCAGAGGUAAAGCAUAUGGAGUCUGGCCUGUAAAAGGAUAUACAGUGCCCCCCCGACCUACCUCACAGGUGUGUGGUCAAAAUGACCAAAGUAACACCAAAAGUAACAUUGGCGAAUGUGCUCAAUUUUUAAAAAUACAAGUGAUUGCACUGCCGUUAGUGGUAGUUGUAUAGAUAAGUAGUAGAAACAGUGGCAGUAGUCAAAGUACUACUAAAAGCAAAAUAUGUUAGAAAUUAAGUUCAGAGUUAAAUAAGACAGAUGAAUGGAUUGAGCAAAGGAACAGAAUAGAAACUCCAGAAAUUCAAGUGGCAGUAUACAAUGAAGAUGACAACUCCAAUUAGUGGGGAAAAUAUAGACUUUUUAAUAAGUGAGUUUAGAUAACUUAAUAGUCAUACAAAAAAAAAAGAUAAAGUUGAGUUCACUCUUAAAACCUAUUCUAAUACAAUUUCCAAAUGGGUCAGAGAUGCAAAGGUAAAAAAAAAGAAAGGAAAUAAUAUGAGUACCCAAAGAUAAUAUGAGUGAACUCCUUUACAAUCCGGGAGUGAAGAAAACUUUUCCGACAUGAUUCAAAAUUUAUGAGCAGUAAGAGAGGAGAUUCAUAAAUUUGACUUAUAAACAUAAACCUCCCCAAAAGACAAAAAACAAAAACUUAGGAAGUCUUAUGCUUGCAAAAUAACUCAAGAAGCAAAGUUAAAAAUAUGUGACAAACGGGAAAUAUUUGCAACUUCUAUCAUAGACAAAAAGUAAUAUCCCUAAUAUAUAAAAAUCUUCUAAAAACUGAAAGAAAAAAAUCCAAGGCCCUAUAGAAAAAAUGGACUAGAUAGAUGAACAGGUAGUUCACUUAAAAAAAGAACAAAUUGCUCUAUAGCAAUGAAAAGAUGUUCAACUUUCUCAUAAUUAGAGAAAUGUUAAUUAAAACCUCACUGAGAUGCCAUUUCCCAUCCUCAAAUUGGCAAAAAUCCAAAAGCUUGAUAACAUACUCUGUUGGAGGACUAUGGGGAAACAGGCGUUCUCAUACAUUUUUGGUGAAAACACAAUAUGGUACAACCACUACAGAAGGGAAUUUGGCAAUAUAUAGCAAAAUUAUCUAUGGAUUUACUUUCUGACUUAGCAAUCCUACUUGUAGGAAUCUAUCCUAAAGAUAUGCUGGGAAAAAAAUGCAAAGAGAAGUAUGCACCAAGAUAUUCAUUAGAACCUACAAAAGUAAAGAAAAAACUCAAAUGUCCAUCAAUAUAAGACUGGUGAAAGAGACAAUAGUUCACCACACAAUGGAAUACUAUGCAGCUAUAAAAAGGAAUGGGGAAUAUUUGUAUAUACAAUGGAAGCAAUCCGUAGGUUAUAUUAAAUGAAAAAAGCACAUGAGAAAAGUAUGGAUAAUAUGCUACUGCUUAUAUAAGAAGGGGCAAAAAUACAUACAUAUACAUAGAAACACAAGCACACAUAUGUAAAAUUUUAAUAUUUUCCUCUAUUAAAAUAAUAGAAGAAGAAUUCUUUAAAAAUAUGUAAAUGGACACCUAAAGGAAUGAGAGGAUACAUGAAUAUAAGUCGAACUUGUUUUGUACAUGGAUUUUUAGAAACAUGAAACUAUAUACACAAUUUAAAAAACUUAAAUUUUAAAAAUACCUCAAAGCAUAAAGGAAAAUGGAACAAAUGUGCUUAAUUGUGUUUAAAGUUAAGUUAGUGGGAUAACCAGACAGAGAGGACUAUACCAGGUGACUUUAAAACAAUAAUUUUAGUGUACAUUCCCAGGGAUUAUAACAUGAAAAAAAACUGCAAGAAGAAUCUUGAAAGUGUUUUCAAUAGCCAUAUUAGGAUAAAGCAAAUAUGCAAAUAUAUUGCUGUCAUUGAGAACUGGGAUUUUUGUCAUGGGAAGACGUCGAAAAAGAUCUGAGUUUGGUAAGGUUUAGUAAAAAUCUGUAGCACUGGCUUUGGUUAGGGUAUUACUAUCCUCCAUAAUGUACAUUAUCUUAGAAAGAAAAAAAAUUUCCAGCUUUGUGCACUGACAAGACCUGGAAACUGUGAUAGACUAAGUAGCUGUAAGCUGUAAGCUGCAAGCUACAAUGGGGAUGUAAGCAUCCCCAUUGAGAAGACUGUAGUUUAUAAAUACCGUUAUACACGAAAAGGAAACACAAUUCUUUGGAGAAAGAGAUGAUGCAAAGUUUAGGGGAGGAAAUCACGACCAGAGAAUAUCUUGGUAUACCAGAAAGCAGGGAAGCAAUCGGUGAUAACAGAGGCUUGUCUGGAGGACUCAGGCACCAGCAUGAAGACGACCCCACUGUCCAAAUAGGGAAAAAUUUGAGCAUCAAUAAUUGUAGUAGAUUGAAACACAUUGAAAAAUUUAAGUCCACGAAUUAACAGUAAUAGUUUAAAAAAACUGCUAAAGAUCAUCUUUAGAAGAUAUUGAAGCUCAAUUCAUUAUUUUGAAAAUCUAAAAAUAGAGGGAAAGAAUUAGACAUUUAUCUUCUUCUUCUUACAUAAACUGUGCCUCUGUGUAAUUAAAUGGUUGAUGAAGAGAGAUUUCUAUUUCUUCAGCUAAUAAAAGAAGUGUAGACUAUCACUACCUUGCAACCCCCAAAAGAGUAGUAGGCAAAAGUCAUCAAUGGAUGUUGACAUGGCGAAAACAGAGAUAGUCAGAUACUAUGCCUCUUGACUGAAGUACAUACUGCCAUCUAUGAAGGAGUUUUGCCCCCCUCAAUAAAAAAUCUGAAUAUGAUAGAGCAUCUAAGUCUAUCAGACAAUUUACAGGAAAUACAGAGGGAGAAAACCUGUGGGAUGAAACCAAGUGGAUGUAAUCAGCAAGAUCCAGAUGAUGGGAAAUGCUCUAUGAAAUGCUCAGAUUUCUUAAAAAAAAAUGAAAAGAGAGAGACAGAGAUGAAGAGGGGCCAUAUAUAUGGUUUAAGGGACAUACAUGCCAACUGCAAUAUAUGGGCCUUGUUUGGACUUGAUUUGAACUAUAAAACAAAACAAAAUAAAUUUAAAAAUUGGAAACAGAGAGAUUUUAAUAGUGACCAGAUAUUUGAUGGUAUUCGCUCCUUCCAUAUGUGUGUGUGUUAUAUAUGUUAAAUACUUUAAAAAAGACAUAAUCACAGUGUCAUUAUUACACACACACAUAAACGAAAUGUUAUAUUUAGUUUUUGCUUCAAAAUUACCAGGUGAGAUGGGGCAAAAGUGAAUGGAGAUGGGUUGAUAAUUGUUGAAGCUGAAGGCUAGAUAGAUGGAGUUCAUAUAUGAUUUUUUUCUACUUUUAUGUUUAAAAUAUUCCAUUAUUAAAACUUUUUUAACAAGGGAAAAAUAAAAGAAGAUAAGGAUUCUUGAGAUUCUUGCAGACAUUGUUACUCUUAAGUGUAAUAACUGGCAGAAUCUACAAAUUCUGUGAGUUGAAAGUGAAGUUAUAGGGAACCGAAUAGAAAAGAGAUGUGUCAAGAAAACCAUAAAAGCCAAAAAAUUUAAUGCAAAGCGUGAUUUACUUACAUUUUUCUGGCUGAUAGAUCAGGUUAUAGUGCAUCAUAGGAAAAGUUAUCAGAGCCAAAAGCGUAGACGUAAAAGGAAUAAGUAAAACCAGAGCCCAGGCCCCUGAGUGCCGGAUGUAAGAUAUUCCUGGAAAGAUAGCAGUUGCAUUUAGGUUCACGAUCCAAUAAAAAUUGGGGUACACAGACAGAUGAAAAUAAAAGUAUCAUUGAGAUACUUCCAAUAACAGCUGCUAAUUAGAAUGCUUUUACAUAAAUGUAAGCUAUAAAAUAGUGGCAUGUUAGACUUUGUAAAUAUUGUUUCUUAGAGUUCUUAAUAAGUGUAUCCACAUCACCUACGUCUUAUCAGUUUCAUUAUCUUUGUUUCAUUCCUCUUUAGAAUAGACGUAUAGUAUAUUCUCUUUUAUCUAAAGCAGCAGUUGACAAAUUUUUUUCUGUAAAGCACUUAAUAGUAAAUAUUUUAGGCUUUGCAGGCCCUAAGGUCUCUACAGCAACUGCUCAACUCUGUGUUGUGGCGCUAAAGAAGCCAUACUGCAUAGCUGAAUACACCUACUGAACCUGGAAAAGGUAACGUGGUUAAGGAGUUGGGUCUUCCUAUUUAUUCCACUUUUCAAAGUAUGGGAAAACUCAGGAACACUCAGGUUAUACCCAGACCAUGCAUUAAACCAAAGAAAUGAGUGUCAUUUGCAUAAAACUUUUAGCGUCUCCUGUAAAGAUUAGUUUUACAAAUAAGUACCCAUCCCAAUGGUCUGUUUUGCAAGUUCUGAGGAAAUCACUUCUCCCUCUCAACCCUUCAUUGGGUGUAAAUCCUGCUGUUAGAAUCCCAUUGCAGGGGGGAGGAGGUGUCUUAACAUUAACUUAAAACAAUUAUUGAGGUAAAAUUAAAUAUGAUAAAAUUUACUCAUUUAAAUAUAUAGCUUUAUGAAUUUUGGUAAAUGUUUCAGUUGUGCAAACACUAAUAGAUCUAAGUUUUAGAACACAAAUUAUCACAAAAAUUUAAAGGGCUUAGCUGAUUAGAUCAGGCCCACCCAGGAUACCCGGAUAAUCUCCUCUUUGAUUAACUCAAAAGCUGAUUCGAGACCUUAAUUGCAUUGCAAAUCCCUUCACCUUUACCAUACAACAUAACAGAAUCAGGGGAUGAUAUCCCGUCAUCAUUGCCAUGUUCUGUUGUCUAGAAUCUGGUCACAGGUUGUUUUCCACACUCAGGGGGAUGGGUCUAUCAAGAGUGUGACCUAUUCAGGGUCAUCCUAUGGUAUUUCCUGUACAUCUUCUAAUUGAUCCUUCCUUCCCUCCUUCCUUCCUCCCUUCCUUCCCUCCUUCCUUCCUUCCUUUCUUCCUACCUCCCUUCUUUCCCUCUCUCCUUCCUUUUUGGCUUUCUCCCUUCUUCUUCUCUACUUUCCUCUACAUGAAAGAAGAAGCAGAGUCAACAGGUAAGACUGGCUAUGGGAAGGGGAUAUUGAAGGCUUGAGAAGAAAGGAAAAGAUCAGAAAUAGUCACACGAGGAAGACGAUAGGGAAGGAGUGGAAACCGUAAACUUGCUAGGCGAUGGUAACGGGCUACUUGAGGUUGGUCAUGAAGUUAAUGUGAACAUAGCACGAUUUUGGCAUUUUUCUCCAGACUUGUUUGCCUGUGUGAGUACAGUAACGGAACAGGCGGAGAGCUGAAUUUUACCCAGGAUUAUUUCCUCUGUUGCUCAGAAGAGUACUGCAAAGUGAGGGGAGGGAGAGGGAGGAAUUACAUUGUUAAUUAAUUGAGGAGCAGCCUCUUUACCCCACCUCAUUCCACUUGCUGUUGGAAAUGGAGUCUCGGUUCCCUGCUGUGCCCAGCUGACAGGACCCAGGAGGGCGGAUGGGAGCACUGCCUGUUUCUGGUGGGCAGGGGAUGGAAGACCUCUCUUUGCUUGGCCCGAACACCACCACUCAGGCUGGGGAAUCAGAGUGUCCCUGCCUGCUUCUGCUCAAGUGUGUGUAUGUGUGUGUGUGUAAAAUAUUAGAUUCCUGUUUCUUGCUGAAACAAUAGGGCCAGAGGGGCGGAGGGAAUGCAGUCUUUCCAGAGUGUUUGUCUGAAGUAGGGCAACUAUUGUCAAACAGAUUAUCUCUUAUGUUAGGCUACUAUUUUUCUAGUACUUUGCCUAAGGGGAGCAGACUUUUCUGGGAUCUUCUCCAGCUCUCCCCCAACCCUUGCCCCCACCAUACCUCUUGCUGCUGCCAGGUUAUAGAUUUCUCCAUUGCCCUGACUGUUGGCAAAAGGAAAACUCACUGCUGUCCUCUCUCAAGUUCUAAGAUCUCUAGGUAGAGACUCUCUUCUUUCUUCCACCUUUCAGAACCUUCCUAAGUUUGCUGUGUUAUGUCAGGGUUUUUAAGAUAUAAAAAGGAGGACCUGGAAUGAAUGGGGCUGCUCUCUUGGCCUAUCCCGGAAAUUCUCUCUGUUCCUUCAGUUGGGUAAUUUGUCUUCUUGUUGUUGAUUUGUAAAAGUUCUUUAUAUGUUCUCCAUGCAUGUCUUUUGUCAGAUAUAUGUACUACAAAUGUUCUCUCCCAAUCUGUGGCUUGCCUUUUUAUUGUCUUAAUAAAAUCUCCUGAUAAGCAAAAGCUUUUAAUUUUAAUAAAUUUUGACUCAUCAAUUUUUUUGUUGGUUCAUGCUUUUUGUGUCCUAUGUAAAGAAUACUUUCUAAAUGCAGGUCACAAGUUUUUCUCCUUUUUUUUUUUUCAGUGGUUUUAUAGUUUUAGAUCUUUUGUAAGGUCAAUGAUCCACUUUGAAUUAAUUUUUCAGUAGGAUGUUACGGGUAAUCUUUUUCUAUAUGAUAUACAGCUACUCCAGCACAAUUUAUUGACAACAUGAUCUUUUCUCCAUUGAAUGUUUUUAGCAGCUUUUUGGAAAAUCAAUUGGCCAUGUAAACGUGUUAUUUUUUCCUGAUUCUCAAUUCUUUCUGCUAAUCUCUCCUUGUGCCAAUACCAUACUGUCAUUACUGUUGCUUUUUUCUCUUUUUUAAACAGCUUUAUUGAGAUAUAACUGACAUAUAAUAAACUGCAUAUGUUUAAAGUGUACAAUUUGAUGUUUUGACUAUGUAUCUACCCAUGAAAUGAUCACCACAUUCAAGACAGUGAACAUAUCCAUCAUUCCCAAAAGUUUCCCUAUGUCCCUUGAUAAUCCCUCCCUAUUGCUUCUUCUUGCCAUUUCCUCAUCUCCAGGCAACCACUGAUCUUUUCUGUCACUAUUGGUUAGUUUGCAAUUAAAUAGAAUUAUCAAGUAUGCACUCAUUUUACCUGGCUUCUUUCAAUUAGCGUAAUUAUUUUGAGAGUCAUCCGUGUUGUCAUGUUUAUCAGUAGUUCAUUCCUUUUUAUUCACAAGUAAUAUUUCAUUAUAUAUAUAUAUAUAUACUACAACUUAUCUUAUUUAUCCAUUUAUCUGUUGAUGGACAAUUUCCAGCUUAUGGCUAUUACAAAUAGUGUUGUUAUCAACAUUCAUGUGUAAGUGUUUGUAUAGCUAUAGACUUUCAUUUCUCUUUAGUAAAAACUUAGGAGUGAAAUGGCAGGGUGAUAUGGUGGAUGUAUAUUUAACAUUUUAAGAAAUUUUCAAAUGGUUUUCAAGUGGUUGUAACAUUUUACAUUACCACCACCUGUGUGUGAGAGUUCUAAUCCCUCCAAAGCUUGGGCAACACUUGGUAUGGUCAAUCUUUAAUUUUAGCCAUUUUGAUAGACGGUAUCCCAUUGUGGUUUUAUUUCGCAUUUCCAUGAUGACGAAUCAUAUUGAGCAUCUUUUCAUGUGCUUGAUGGCCAUCUGUAUAUCAUCUUCGGUGCAGUUUCUCUUCAAAUAUUUUGGCCGUUUUUUAAACAUUGAGUUGUUUGUUUUUUUUUAUUAUUGAGUUUUAAGAAUUCUUUAUAUAUUGUGGAUACAAGUUCUUUAUUAAAUAUGUGAUUUGCAAAUAUUUUCUCCAGUGUGUGGCUCAUUCUCUUAAUAGUACCUUUUGAAGGGCAGAAAUUCUUAAUUUUGAUGAAGUCCAAUUAUUUUUUUUUCUUUGACAGAUCAUGCUCGUAGUGUCGUAUUUGGGAAAUCUUUACCUAAAUGAAGGUAAUAAAAAUUUUCUCCCUCUUUUUCAGAGAGGAAAUCUGAGCGCUGGAGAACGGAAGUGACUCAGCUGUGUUGCUGCAGAGCCAGCAGUAAAAGCCACCUGUUCUGGUGCAGCCUCUAAGGAGAGGCUAACUGGGCUAGAAUGGUGGUCAGAAGAGAUGAGUUUGAGUCAUAGCUCUGACAGUCACAUGAUCUGUGAUCUUAGGCUCUCUGGAAUUCCAAGUCUUCAUUUUAAAAAUAAGGAUCAUACCUGCUGGACAGAGUUUUUUCAAAGACUGAAUGAAGAACACAGACUAGCUGCACAGUGCCAAGCAAAUGUUGUUGCUGUUCUGAAUUUUUCUCCACUCUCAAUUUCAGGAAGAAAAAGAACAGUGAAGUUGGAGCAUAGUGAGAAAGGAAAAGAGCUUUAGAAGAGAAGAUCCAGCAGAUGCUGCCACAGCAUGGCUUGACAAGUCGUGUGUAGGUCUGCACCUGAGAUCAGAACCCGAGAACCCCAGGCUGCUGAAGCAGAGUGCAUGAACUUAACCACUAUGCCACCAGGCUGGCCCCAAGGGAAACGCUUUAUUUUAAUGCUAAGUAUUGCUGAGAAAAUCCAGGAGGACGCUGUGUGACUCUUUAGUACACAACAUGGUGAUGUAAACUGAAUUACUCUAAAGAGGGUCAAGGAAAAUUACAAUUAUUCCAAGACUUAAAUCUUGUGAAAGGUAGUUAGAAACCAAAGAAUUAUGGUGCUGAGUAUCUAUGUAUGGAAAGAGAUUUCACAUAAAGUACUAAAUGCGUUUUUAAUGAAUGCCACCCAACCUAUUUGAUUUGUAAUUUUCUGAAAGAAUGACCUAGUACAGGCAUGUUUUAUAUAUGUCUUUGUUGAUCCAUGGACAGGACUAGCCACAGAUAAUUAAAGGUGAAAUUGUAUAUGUACCAACUGUAAAAAAAUAAAAGAAAUAAAAAUCCACAGUCUUCAAACUCACCAUUAAGACUCCUUUCAUCUCAUAGCUCACUAGCAAAUUGAAUAUAUAAAGCACCUCUCACCCAGAAAGUCAGAGAGCAAAGCACUAAAGCAAAACAAAUACCAGUGAUUAAGGAAAAUUGAAAGCAGCAGUAAAAAUAAGUUUCUUUAGUCUACUUUUAAAUACAGACUAGGAACUGCAAAUAAGUGGUAAUUUUUUCUGUCUUUAUGAUUCUAUGGUGUUGAAUGCAAAUAAGGAAACAAAACUUGUUGCUGCAAAACUCAGCAAUCCUUUUGAGAUUAUUUACUUUAAACAUUCACCUUAAUUUAUCUCGUAGUAAUUUUUAAAGUCACUCAAAUAUUUUGUCAUUUCUUAGACUGACCGAUUUUGACAUGCUUCAGACUUUUUAAGUGAUUUUAGAGAAACAGUUUAAAAUGAUCUUUCCUAACUUGAAAAGGUGUCAGUGAGGGGAGGUACUUGCAGGUCUUCAUAGCAGUAGUGGACAAUUUGAAGAGUUCAAAGAGAAGGUUUUAUUCUGUAUUUAAAAAUAUUGAGAUAAUUCACUGGGGAUUUGCGGCUCUUCAAUGGGAUAAAAUUGGACGACUUAGAAGAGUCAGGGAAACACUUGGGCUCUGAUUUCAUGGUGGAUGGCUGUUGUGAACUCUUGCUUCUUUUAGCAUAACCAUUGGCCCAUCAAAGUUCUUCAAAGAACACUCUGGCUGUCAUGAAUUUGGAGAAAGAAGGAGCAAAGGGAAAUCUUACAGUCCUCACUUUUUGUGUAUGUGAGGAAAAUUCGCCCUCAGCUAACAUCCCUUGCCAAUCCUCCUCUUUUAUUUGCUUGAAGAAGAUUAGCCCUGAGCUAACAUCUGCACCGGUCUCCCUUUACUUUGUAUGUGGGAUACCUCCACAGCAUGGCUGACUCCUGGAGUAGGUCUGCACCUGGGACGCUAACCUGUGAACCCAAGCCACUGAAGUGGCGUGCAUGCAACUUUAACCACUCGGCCCUGGGGCUGGCCCUUACAGUUCUUAUUUUUUAUCUAUAAUUUUUUUCAACAACGCUGUUAAAUGAAAGGCAGUUUAAUAAAGGCAGAUCAUUGGUUUUGGUGAAUAGACAGCAAGAUUAAGGUAAUAGUUAUAUUUUUAAUUAAGAAAUUUGGGGCAUGCCUGUCUUUCUCUCCCUUUUGCUUUUUUUUUUUUUUCUUUGCUGGUAAAGUUUCACCUUAAGCUAACAUCUGUUGCCAAUCUUCCUCUUUUUUUCUUUUUCCUCCACAAAGCCCCAGUGCAUGGUUGUGUAUCCCAGUUUUAAGUCCUUCUAGUUCUUCUAUGUGAACCGCCACCACAGCAUGGCACUAGGCUAUCAGGGCUGGCGCUCUCUCACUCUUUUAACUUGCUGUCAUUCCCUGUCUCUUUUUUCCCUUUCUUUUGUCAACAUCCCAAUUUUAAUAGUGUUUAUGUCAUUUUCUCAUUUCCUGAGUGUAAGAUCUUUGAACCAGUGCGUGUUUACUGAUGAAAAUAAGUCCUUACUCACACACCUGCCAAGUUUAAAAGCAACCAAACAGGGCUUAAGGAAAAGCAGGAGGCGACAGAAGCAGUAAGAAAUUUGUCUUUCUUCUUUUUUUCCUCAAUAUUCUUUGGUAUCCAUAGUUCUAUUUUGGAGAGGAAUUCUGAGUGUAUUUCCUGAAGGCUUACAAUUUUAGCAAAGGUGAAGAAGGAGGUGCCUGCUGUUAUUAGAGUGAGCGGGUAGCAUUUGUUAAACUUCGCUACACCCCACGCAAAUAGAAUUUUGGCAGGUCUAGUGAUUUUUUUAAAGUUAUUUACAGGCUAUUCCUCAGUAUGCAACUCAGAGGAUAUUUUGAGUAUUAAUGUGUAUUAAUAAGAUUAUCCCAUGAGCUGCUUUGCUUUCGUUGGCUGAAAUGCACCUUAUAAAUUAUGAUUUCGCUAUUGCUGAAUAACAUAGAUUCAUAUUUUGUUUCUCUUCUCAAGGAUUAGGUAGAAUUUUUCAUUCAGGCAGAUUUCUAAAUGGGUAAGAAAUUGCUAUGAAUCAUGAAAAGUUUCCAAAGCAGGCUGGCACCCAGGGGGUGCACUCAAACAAUGUUUAGUUCCAUUUCUUUUAAAAGCUCUUUCUAGAUCACUUUGGAAUGCUCUCAUGUCUCUGGAAUUGUUUCGCCAGUUAUGCUCCCAAGUAAUUCUCAUCUAGGAGGUUGAGGAUGGGGCCUAGGAAACGUUUUUAAACAAAGCCCUCAUGUGAUUCUUAAAAUUAGGCAACACUGUCUGAGAGCAGUGGUUCUCAAACCUGAAUACUUAGGCAGCUUUUAAAAAAAUCUGGAUCUCUGGGACCCACCUCAAACUGAUAUACUCGGAACCUCUGAAGGCAGGGCCCAGGCACCAGUAUUUUGGAAGAGGCCUCUGUCGGCUUUCAUGUACAUCUAGGAUGAGAAUCACUGCUUUCAUACAACGCUGAAGUGAAUGUUAAAACAGCUUCUGGAAAAAUGCUGUGGGAUAAUAAGUUUUUACCUCUAGUGUUUCCCUAAGUUACAAGAUGCUAAAUACGAGUAAGUAAGUAUUAAAAUCAAAACUUUUUCAUAUAAAACAGAUAUUAUGUAGGGUCAAUUUGAGUACCAGAUAUUCAAAAUUUCUGGGAUGCAAUAAGUCAGACUCUAGAAUUUUUCAAAAACUUUAGCUAUAUCCUAUUUGGUCCUUUAAAUCAUGCAUAAUUCACUCUGGUAACUGGUUAGCAACAGACUAUGAUAUGCAGAUGGGAUGCAAAUUAUCAGGUAAAGGAAGUAGAGAAAUGUGAAAGCAAGAUUUGAGGUUAAUUGUGGUAGAAUUUAAAAUUAUGCUUAUGAAAAGACUUAAUUAUCCACCUUUCUUUUUGCUUCCAGAAAAGAUUCUGCACAGGUGUAUUUGCCUAGAUGAUCUCCAGUGUGGUGACUCUUAAUUGUACACCUCAGAUUUUGGAAAAUGCUGAAAGAGCCAGGUUCUGAUCUGGAUAAUUACAUAAAGAUGUUGGCAGAUUACUAUGCCUCUUGAUUUUAGGGAGUUUAGCUUUAUUCUUUCAAUGAGGUACAUAGUUGAGGAAGAUCCAGUACCAGAUGGCAAUGUUGGCUAGGAGUGGUUUUCUCACCUACAUUUGGCAGCUCUACUCGGAAGCAGUGCUUUCAAUGCCUGAGACUUCCAGUCUAUACUACUUAACAGGAUCAUUGGGAAGCUUUAGGUGGUAUAGAUGCAAUGACACAUCUCAUUAAAGGUCCUGUAACUAUGAACAUCUGACAUCUGUGCUGAAAAUAGAACUGGAGGCAGCUUUCAAGUGGUUAUAGAUUCAAGUAGUAUGUUGUUUUUUAAAGACAUGACUGCAAUUUGUUAUAUUAACCAGGCUUAUAAUUUCUAGAGGCAUUUUUGACUUGGAGACAUAGAUUAUAAGUUAACGGCUGCCCAUUUUAAAGAUGACCUCCUCCUAAAUGGGUUCCCUCUUUCCCAGAAUUAAGACAAUGAUUUUAGCUGAUGACAUUUGUCAUUUAAUAAUAGCAGUAGCGAACAUGGUUUGAAAAGCUAUAAUGUGCUGGAAUUCUUUAUAUAUAAGCUAUACAACAGCCGUGCAAGCUGGCUGAGGGUCCUGGGGCUCUGAGAGGUUAAGGAACAUGCUGAAGAUCAUAAAACUCCUAAGGAUCUACCAGCUAUCUGGCUGCCCAGCAGGAUGUCUGUCCAUCUUGCAGCCAACCCCUGCAGUAUGUACAGGAAUAGAGUUAGCAUUCAUUUCUACAAGUUGCAACAAGCGCUUGUUCAUAAAAGUUUUCCUUUAGUUUUGUUUUUAAACUUAAAAAACCCACAAAAAACGGAAACAGCCAGGUUCAGCCUUCAAGAACUUGCCAUCUAAAUAGUCCUUUAUCACAUUAAAGAAUAAUGCUCUGAUUCUUUAUACAGAUUUCUAGGUGCUUUCAUUUUAGCUUUUAAAAAUAGUGCAUGAUUUUUUUUAUCAGAGAUUUUAAUGACGUUAGGAAAUAAUAAGUAACCAAAUCAAAACGUGUUCAUCCCACAUUUAGCCUGGCUCCUCACAGCUGCAGAAAUUCAUUUUCACCCCAUUACCCCACCCCCUUCCCAAAGUCCUAAAGCACAAAUCCAUUGGGAGUCCUCUCCGUUUCCCAAAAGAAAUAUUUCAUUCAUAUAAUGUCUCCUUUGUAAUCAACACUGAGAAAUGUCACUUUGAUUAAACACAACUCUGAAUGACUAAGACCACAGUACAAUAAAUUCUCCAGAGCUAUCUUUCAGAGCAACUGAUUGCUCUCCAGUCUUAAUCCUCCAGAGUCUUAUUUAAUCAAAAUGAUGUUGCUAAUUAAGGAUUAAAACCUCCGAAUAGAAUAAAAAAGAAGGAUUUUUCUUUCUCCUUUGGGCAGGUCAAGGAGGCAGAAUUUGUUAUAAGGAAGUAAAAAGUCCCUUCCACCUUUGGUAAAAUUGCAUUAUUCUCUGACGUUGGACUUAAUCCAAAAUAGGCUUGAGUCUUUUGUAAUAUUAAUAUAAUUGAAGAAAGAGAAAGAGAGAGGAAUAAAGGAGAAAAGAAAGUAAAGGAAGUAAGGAAGGAAGAAAGAGAGACAGAGAGAGAGGGAGACAGAAAGAAAGGAAGGAAGGAACGAAGAAAAGAAGGAAGAGAGAGAGAGAAAGAAAGUAAGAAAAAAAGAAGGAAAGAAAUGAACGAACACCCUGCCCUGGAUAGCUACAUAUACCUAGAUAACAUUUAUUCUAAAAUUUUUUCAAUUAAUACUUUUAAUAUGAAUUUUCUUCAACAUUUUGUCUGAUGCUGUCUGUGCAUUGCUUUUAUCUGUUACUAACAUUGAUGGAAAGACAGUACUUUAGAAAAAUGUUGGCAACCCAUUUCACAGAAAAGAGGAAACAGAAGACAACGUAUGUCAGAUCUAUUUGACAUCCACUAAUGAAUACCAAUAACAAAAACAAAAUUCUCUAUUAAAUGCUAAAAUUCUCUACUUUAAGAACAAUAUUUCAAUUUUUCUCUUGAAUUUGUAGUCGAUAAUAAAAAUUGGUUCCUUAAAAACACAUAAAACUGCACAAGAACUCACUGAGAGAGACAAAGAUUCUCAAAAGUGAUUUUUAUGGAAUACAAACUCUUUUAGGUGUUGGGGUGAAGUGAAUGCAAAACAGAGGUGCUGGUUGAUGUUUUAACAAAGGGCAAAACAUUUCUUCCAUCCUUUUCAUCUUCUCUCUGCACUGGCCUGUGAAUUUCUAACCCCUGCCAAAUUAGUCAAUUACGAUGUAAUAAGUAAUAACAACAGCUAGCAGGUAUUGAUCACCUAUUAUGUACCAGAUUCUCUGCCAGUGAUCUGCACAUUAUUACCUCUAAUAAAACCCAAGAAGAGGUAUUAUUAUAAACCCUUUAGAAAUGAUUAAACUGAAGCUUAUAGAGAAUAAACAACUUGACCAAGGUCAGGCAUCUUGUGCUAAGUAGAGGUGAGAAUUCCAUUCAGCCCUCUUCAUCUCCAAAGCCACGUUCUAUUCAAUAUGACAAACCACUUCAGACUUGUUUACUUAGAGGUCAAAUUUCUCAAUGAGUUUCUAGAAGGUUCUGGUAAACUGUGUUGGUCUGUAUCUGACUCAUAUGCUCCGACGAUUUCUGACUGAAUCAUUGCCGCAGGCACCAUCACAUUGUCAAUUACCCAGCCCAACCAAUGACAAAGACUGAACUACUACCAUCAAAAUGGGACUGGAGAGCAAACAAUGAGAAAUCCCAAAAGGGAGAGGAAUGUCCUAAACCUCGUUUUCUCUCCUAACCAGCGUUACUUACCAAUUAAAAAAAGACAUUCAUUUCUGUGAUCCAUACUCCUGAAGGCUGUAAGCAUCCAGUGGACAAAUGAUGCCUCUUAUUCCUCCCAUGGUGAGGCAGAUGGCCAACAGUGGUACAUAAAACAGCCUGUUCCACUCGUUUUUUGGUAUGUUGUUAACCGUAUGGUAAAUACCCACAUAGAAAUCUUCCAAGGGGAAAGCAACCACAGAUAGCAAAGCAGUGCCUGUAAAUAGAGAAAAAGUGAGAAUAAAUAUGGCACAGACCAACUGAAUCACCAAAUCACAUCGUAAAUAAGGUUUUCUCUCUGUAAGUAGCAUCAUUAUAUGAUUGUCUUAUUAAAAUACUUGUUAAUCAUUGCAAUUCAGGAGAUAGCAUGAUUUUUCUAAACGUGAAAAUUUCCUCCAAUAUGCGCUUUAACUAAUCCAGAGUCCUAGUCACCCCCCAAGCUUGAACUAUCUUUACUCUCAGAAUGUAUACACAAAUCAUGUCCAUUUUAACAAAAUUAGUGCUAUGCAAAAAUACAUCAUGUAAGAAGCUAAAAAUUCCUGUAAUCCCACCCCCAGAGAAAACCACUGCUAACAAGGGUUAUUUGUUCUUAAUCAAGAGAGUGAUAGAAAGCUCGAUGAUCUCAGACACCUUAGAAGCCUGUUAAAUAAAGUGUUUUAAGGAGAACAUCAUUGUAGUUGGAGGAGAACAUAGACUCUCUUUUCCUUUUCUAAUUCUCUUUCUCCUUUUAAUGCCCUUCUUAUUUCUCUCACUUCUCAUGCAGCUCGGUGGAACUUUCUUUGUCCCACACAGAGGUGAGAAGGCUGAGGAGAAGGAUGUGAGGGUGAAUGACGCAGUACAAGUGGAAAAGAGGGGAGGACAGAAAGUGAUAACAGAGGGUUGAGUAUUCUUCUCACUUUCAUCUUGCAGAGACCAUACUGGAAGAUUUUUCUUGUCUAAUAGAAAUUAUAAUUCAAUUCCAUACUUUUGCUAAGCUGUUUAUGUUCUGCAAAACAUUUUGCAUACCAUAUUGUUUCAUCUUGGAAAAACUUUGCGAUGUCAGGGUAUAGAUUUUCUUUUUUUUGAAAAUAUUUAUUUUAUUGCAUCAUUUUACUGACUAGAACAUCAAAUUUAUAGUGGAUAUAAGUAUAAAAAUAACUGAAUUCUUACAAAUAAAACUUUGCUGCUACAGUACUGAAUAAUUAGUGGAGGUUGCAAUUAUAAUACAACUUUAAGUAAUAUUCUCAUAAUGGAUUUAAUACAAUCAAUCAGGGACUAAGGUUUAAAGGUUGCAAAGAGAAAUUCAGGAAAGCAUGAAAACUCAAAGUGUUAAUAUUCCAGCUACAUGCUCCGUUUAACCGUAAAACCAGCAACAUAAACAUGAAUAAAACUCAUGUCAACCCAUGAUGAAGCAUCUUUUUUUAAAGAAAGAGGCCAAGGUUCAAUGAGGUUAAGUGACUUGCCUAAUAUUAUAGAAUAACCCAGAUGUAAUCUCCUUCUUCUUGGAAUUCCUGUCGUCAAGUGGUCAAAUCAUUAAUUUUUUUUUUUGUCGGUUUGAUUAGUGAAAAAUAGCCUCUCCAUGUUAGUAGUGUCUUCCAUUUUCUUCAUGUGGCAUUCAUAUUGUUUUGUAUAAAUUUUUUAUAUGGUUGCUUUAUGUGGUUAGUUUUCUAAAUCAGACUAUAAGCUCCUUCAAGACAAAAGUUUGGCCUAAUGUUUCUGUCUCCCUUACAGUGGGUUUCACAAUGUGAAAAAUAUAUGCACACAAUAGUUAUUUGAUAACAGGUUGGUUUACCAUGAGUGUAGGCCCUUUAAAUGAUUGAGUUUGAAAUGUUUCCUAUCAAGGUUAGCCAGAUGUGCAACUAACUGCUCUCUCUCUGUCACUCAGUCUUUGUCUUGGAAGCGUGACAUGAGGCCUGGCUUAUCCAAAGAGGAUGGACAGAGAAACUGCUUCUUGCAGCAACCAUUUAUUUAGAGACAAAGCACUUUUAGUGGUACCUUUGUGUCCGUUAAAAAGGCACUUUGUUUCUAUCUUUUAAGAAAAUGUCAUAAUAUACUGAUGUCAUUAGAUCAAAACUUUAUUUCUAUCAGCUGUCAAAUUGAUGUAGUAAGAAUACAAAUCAAUGACAUUUAUGAUAAAAAGUUUUCUCUUUGAUCCGUGGUAUUGUGCUCCACAUAAUGAGCAUACCUGUACGUGUAGCUCUGUAUAAAGCACCAAGAUGUGUCAAGAGUAGUGGGGUCCACUGGCUCUUUUCUCCAGAAGCUAAUGAGUCCAUCAGGGAAGGCAGACAUGCAGGUAGACAACUACAUUGUAGUGGAAUAAAUGCAGUCAUAGAGGGAUGAUCAGAGUGUGACUGAGCACAGAGAAGCAAGCAACAAACGCUAUAUGGGUGUGGAAGGAAGGGCAGAAGUUUUCACUUUUUGGAUACAGAGUGGAAAGAUAAAGGAAGGUGACAAUUUCAGGCCUAGAAAAGAGGACUUGUAAGAUUAAAGAAGGAGGAAAGCAGGCAAGGAGAAGUUCAGCAUGGUUGAGUUCAUCUAUUGAGACUGAAGUCUGGAGAGGUAAAUUUGGGACAGAUUGUAAAGGUUUGUAUGUCCUAAGCUGGAUUCUAUGUCUUAGAUAAUAAAGUCAAUAUAUAGGUUUGUUUUUUCCUGAAGUCAAUGUUAUUGAUAGACAGGUGUAUGGACUGGAGUCACUGAUAACUGAUGGUCCAGUCAGUAGGCCAUGGUAACGGUCAAGAAAAAGAAAGCUGCGUUUUUGAGCUAAGGUUGUAGCAAUUCAGACAGAAGAUAUAUUUUUGAUAGAACCUCUGAUAUUUAUUCAUCAGCUGGAAUUUGAUGGCAGCCUUGAGUAGGGGACACAAGAAAAUAACUUUUAGUAAGAAGAUGAAUAGACAGGGAACUGACUGAGGUCUUUAUUUGCCAAAUUCCAAAGGUGGACCUUUAGUCCGAAUCUGAUGACUUACACAGGAAUUUAGACUGAUAGGAAUUACCACUUUACCAACCCCUACUGAUAUGGCCUGUUACCAAGGUAAGAAUGGCAGAUCAUUCAAGCCCUUGCUUAAAUGCCUACUUAUCAGAAAACAAUCCCCCCUACAGAACAGCAACCUUGUCACUGUCCAGUGCAUCUCAUCCCCUUGACCAGCUUUAUUUUUCAUCAUAACACUCGUUAACAUAUGGCAUAUCUAUUUACUUGUUUCUUUUCUCUCUCUCUGCACCAGAAAGUCAACUUCAGCAGAGAAGAGACUGCUUUCUUCUCUGUUACCUUCCGAAAUCCUGGAACAAUGCCCGGCACAUAGGACUGGAUAAAGAAUAUUCAUUGCCAUGCAGUGACUUAAGUUUUAUUUCAAAUUAUUCUAAUUUUUGGAACUAAAGCAGGGAAGAGGUUUAUAAGUUUGAAUCACCCUCUAAUCCAUCCUGUGAAUGGCAAGUUAUCACGUGCCUGGAAUUGUGUGAUAUGUUGAAUACCUGAUAUCCAUCCCUUCCUCAUUCAUCUCUUCCCCCAUCCCCUAAACCUGCAUCUGUGCUGUACUUCUCAGUAUUAGUGAACAGCACACCACCUUCCUAAGUUCCUCAGCUCAGAAACUCGGAGUUAAUUUUUGUUCCUCUAUCAUAUUUGUGCCUUUAUUUAGUUUCCGAGUUUUUUUGGUUUUUCCCAUGUUCUCUCCUGGAUUGACAUGUCUCCGUUGUCUAGGCCAUCAUCCUGAGAGUUCUGGUCUCUGUCUAUUUAACUUCUCAUUGUGGUUGCCCAUCCUGUUUACUGAAGAAAAGCACUUCCCAAAUGUUUUCUUUGUAUCUUCAGUGCCUCCUUGUUGUCUAGAGAACAACUUGAACUUCUCAGCCUAAAAUUCUAGAUUGUUCAUCAAAUAUCAAACAAUCUUGAUAUUUCCUCAACAUUUGUAGCAAUCAAUUCACUCCCAAGCUUUUGUGAAUAUAUUUAUUUUUCUAUAUAAAGAAGCACACUGUAGGAUUUGAAUUAAUUCAUUUUUUUUAGAAUAACUGUAGUUCAUAAUAUAGAAAUCAUGUCUUCAUAUGCAAUCUUAAUUACUAUUUGACUAAUUAAAAGACCACCUUUUGAUGAGAACAUUCCUCAAUUAUUCCACAUGAACUUUAAAAACCUUUUUAGCACAUUUCGUCUUAGUUGUGAAGCAAAUGAACUUCAUGUUUCACAUAGAAUUUGUCACAAAUUUAGACUUGGAGUAGGAAGGGGGAAAAGGAGAGUUUUCUAAGGAGUACAGAAGACAGACACAUAAAGAGGUAAUUAUUAUGAAAUAUAAUCAGUGCAAUGAUAUAGGUAUUAAAGCUUCCUCACAAACACACGCACGAACAUUUACUAGCAUCUCUCAAAUAAUACAGAGAAUGAAAUAAAUUGAAACAACAUUCUCACUUCAUUUAUCACAUUUUAUGCUAAGAGUAAGUUAGGAAUAACAUGAACUAAAACUUCCAACAAAAAUCUAUCCAAUUAGGUUGCAAAACAACAGUCAGAAGAGGACACUCACGUGGAAAAUGUAGAAAUAAACAAAUAUAUACCAGUUUAUUUCUUCCUAGACAGACAUCAGCAAGCCAUCUCGCAAACACAGGGGUAAGUAUUGAAAUUCCAGUAAAACACAAGUUCAAAAUGGCUGCCUGGGAGUUGCCAUAGCCAAGCUUGACGGCGCAAAAAGGGAUCAUAUUGCAGACAACUUCAAAGAAAAUGAACCUCUCACACAGCUCCACCAGAAGCAAACAGAUUCCAACCUGAAUUUUUUCGCAGAGUCUGAUGAAGAGAAACAGCCAACAUGUCUUAUAGUUUUCUCCUUCUUAAAGCUGUGAUUUAAGGGUAUUUUCUCAUCAGUUAUUUUAAAAUCUGUAACAGACUUGACUACCUUUCUUGAAUACAGCUUAUGUUAGUGAUUUGAACUUGGUGAUUUUUACCUCCCCCCUCUACUGAAAAAUAAAUAAUAACUUUGCUUUGAAUUUCACACCUCCAUGCUAAAGUUUCGUAAGGGUUUUUGCACAUUAAUGCUG